Molecule: ribosomal RNA, 167 nt
Filed under: Tricholomataceae sp.
Lineage: Eukaryota; Fungi; Basidiomycota; Agaricomycetes; Agaricales; Tricholomataceae
Description: partial large subunit ribosomal RNA
Rfam family: Eukaryotic large subunit ribosomal RNA
Source: RNAcentral
CGGGAAAAGCUCAAAUUUGAAAUCUGGCGGCUCCGCCGUCCGAGUUGUAUUCUGGAGAAGUGUUUUCUGUGCUGGACCGUGUACAGGUCUCCUGGAACGGAGCGUCAUAGAGGGUGAGAAUCCCGUCUUUGACACGGACUGCCAGGGCAUAGUGGUGCGCUCUCGAA